UGGCCGCACUCCAAAUCCUGAUGUUCUUUGCAAUACAAGAAUAAAAUUUGUGACUUCCAGGUGCAUUCAUGGACGCCAUCUACAGUUUGGAUUAUGACUAUAUUGCAUCUGGGCAUUAUGCGAAUGUUGUUCACCCAUCUGCUGAUCAAAGCAAUAACGCUUCUAUCUUAGAACUGUCAAAGGACAUGGUCAGGAUCAAACAUACUUCCUUUCACACCUCUCUCAGUUCCAGCUCAAACGA
This is a long non-coding RNA of Hibiscus syriacus, 241 nucleotides long. RefSeq lists it as uncharacterized. NCBI's taxonomy places the organism in Eukaryota, Viridiplantae, Streptophyta, Magnoliopsida, Malvales, Malvaceae. The record is from RefSeq and is a predicted model, not a curated record. The transcript is spliced from 3 exons.